Molecule: ribosomal RNA, 253 nt
Filed under: uncultured bacterium
Lineage: Bacteria
Description: partial 16S ribosomal RNA
Rfam family: Bacterial small subunit ribosomal RNA
Source: RNAcentral
UACGGAGGGUGCAAGCGUUAUCCGGAUUCACUGGGUUUAAAGGGUGCGCAGGCGGCCAUGUGUGUUAGGCGUGAAAGCCCGGGGCUUAACCCCGGAAUUGCACCUAAAACUACGUGGCUAGAGCAUUGGAGAGGGUAGCGGAAUUCACGGUGUAGCAGUGAAAUGCGUAGAUAUCGUGAGGAACACCAGAGGCGAAGGCGGCUACCUGGACAAUUGCUGACGCUCAGGCACGAAAGCGUGGGGAGCAAAAGGG